RNAcentral lists this ribosomal RNA (219 nucleotides) under uncultured bacterium. Its description in RNAcentral is "partial 16S ribosomal RNA". It matches the Rfam family "Bacterial small subunit ribosomal RNA", at positions 28 to 259 of the family's 1533-position model. The record is from RNAcentral.
GACGAACGCUUGCGACGUGCCUAAGAAAUGCAAGUCGAACGGGGUAGCAAUACCUAGUGGCGAACGGUCGCGUAACACGUGGGCAACCUGCCCUGAAGCGGGGGACAACAAGUCGAAGAUUUGCUAAUACGCAUGUGUCUCGCUGCGGCAUCGCAGAGGAGACAAAGCCGCAAGGCACUUCAGGAUGGGCCCGCGGCCUAUCAGCUUGUUGGUGAGGAA